UGAUUACCGAUUGAGCGCUUGCUCGGGCUUUGAUUAGAUGCUAAACUGGCCUGAAUUUUUUCACAAGUUUCACAUUGAAUCUUCAUGCACAUACAGAAUUAUUCAGAACUGAGAAAAUAAAUAACCGUUCAAUUUAAAAUAUAGCUGCUCAGGAAAACUCUUAUAACCUGCAUGCCUCUACAAGUGAAGUGAGUGCUCAAUGAAAAUCACUCCCUUAGCCAAGGUGCUUGAGCUGGUAUCCACUGACAUAAUUCACCUUCCUUAAACC
Molecule: unclassified non-coding RNA, 268 nt
Filed under: Hevea brasiliensis (rubber tree)
Lineage: Eukaryota; Viridiplantae; Streptophyta; Magnoliopsida; Malpighiales; Euphorbiaceae
Source: RNAcentral